UAAGCAGUGAUGAGCAGCUAACAUAUAAGAACCCAUUAGGAAGUGGGAUUUUCCGUGAAAUACACUUUACGCUUGGCUUCUGAGCUUU
Molecule: small nucleolar RNA, 88 nt
Filed under: Macleaya cordata
Lineage: Eukaryota; Viridiplantae; Streptophyta; Magnoliopsida; Ranunculales; Papaveraceae
Description: Small nucleolar RNA R24
Rfam family: Small nucleolar RNA R24
About the family: snoR24 is a C/D box small nucleolar RNA which acts as a methylation guide for 18S ribosomal RNA in plants.
Source: Rfam by way of RNAcentral